AGUAGACGUUCAGAGUUUGAUCCUGGCUCAGGAUGAAUGCUGGCGGCGUGCCUAAUACAUGCAAGUCGAGCGGUAACAGGGGGUCGUCACCGUUUCCUUGACACACCUAGCGCUAGUUAUCGUAGGUGGAGAUAUUUCGAGGGAACAGUGAGACCCUGCUGACGAGCGGCGGACGGCUGAGUAACGCGUGGGAACGGACCCCAAACUGAGGGAUAACGCACCGAAAGGUAUGCUAAUACCGCAUAUGAUCUUCGGAUUAAAGUCUUCGGACGGUUUGGGACUGGCCUGCGUACGAUUAGAUAGUUGGCGGGGUAAUAGCCCACCAAGUCGACGAUCGUUAGAUGGUUUGAGAAGAUGAUCAUCCAGACUGGGACUGAGACACGGCCCAG
RNAcentral lists this ribosomal RNA (389 nucleotides) under uncultured bacterium. RNAcentral describes it as "bacterial SSU rRNA". It matches the Rfam family "Bacterial small subunit ribosomal RNA", at positions 1 to 334 of the family's 1533-position model. The record is from RNAcentral.